AUUGAACGCUGGCGGCAUGCUUUACACAUGCAAGUCGAACGGUAACAGGCCGCAAGGUGCUGACGAGUGGCGAACGGGUGAGUAAUGCAUCGGAACGUGCCCAGUCGUGGGGGAUAACUACUCGAAAGAGUAGCUAAUACCGCAUACGAUCUAUGGAUGAAAGCGGGGGACCGUAAGGCCUCGCGCGAUUGGAGCGGCCGAUGUCAGAUUAGGUAGUUGGUGGGGUAAAGGCUCACCAAGCCAACGAUCUGUAGCUGGUCUGAGAGGACGACCGGCCACACUGGGACUGAGACACGGCCCAGACUCCUACGGGAGGCAGCAGUGGGGAAUUUUGGACAAAGGGCGCAAGCCUGAUCCAGCAAUGCCGCGUGCAGGAAGAAGGCCUUCGGGUUGUAAACUGCUUUUGUACGGAACGAAACGGCUCUGGUUAAUACCCGGGGCUAAUGACGGUACCGUAAGAAUAAGCACCGGCUAACUACGUG
This 482-nucleotide ribosomal RNA is filed under the name uncultured bacterium. RNAcentral describes it as "partial 16S ribosomal RNA". It matches the Rfam family "Bacterial small subunit ribosomal RNA", at positions 30 to 507 of the family's 1533-position model. The record is from RNAcentral.